This 292-nucleotide ribosomal RNA is filed under the name uncultured bacterium. RNAcentral describes it as "partial 16S ribosomal RNA". It matches the Rfam family "Bacterial small subunit ribosomal RNA", at positions 505 to 796 of the family's 1533-position model. The record is from RNAcentral.
GUGUCAGCCGCCGCGGUAAUACGGAGGAUCCGAGCGUUAUCCGGAAUCAUUGGGUUUAAAGGGUCCGUAGGCGGUUUUGUAAGUCAGUGGUGAAAUCCGGCAGCUUAACUGUCGCACUGCCAUUGAUACUGCAGGACUUGAAUUACUGUGAAGUAGCUAGAAUAUGUAGUGUAGCGGUGAAAUGCUUAGAUAUUACAUGGAAUACCGAUUGCGAAGGCAGGUUACUAACAUUAUAUUGACGCUGAUGGACGAAAGCGUGGGGAGCGAACAGGAUUAGAAACCCCCGUAGUCC